CUGCCCCGCGCUCCGGGACAACCGCUGGAAACGGCGGCUAAUACCGGAUACUCCGGGAGGGCCCCAUGGCCCUGCCGGGAAAGCCGAGACGGCGCGGGAUGGGGUCGCGGCCCAUUAGGUAGACGGCGGGGUAACGGCCCACCGUGCCCGCGAUGGGUAGCCGGACUGAGAGGUCGACCGGCCACAUUGGGACUGAGAUACGGCCUAGACUCCUACGGGAGGCAGCAGUGGGGAAUUUUGCGCAAUGGGGGAAACCCUGACGCAGCAACGCCGCGUGCGGGACGAAGGCCCUCGGGUUGUAAACCGCUUUCAGCAGGGAAGAUCCAAGACGGUACCUGCAGAAGAAGCUCCGGCUAACUACGUGCCAGCAGCCGCGGUAAUACGUAGGGGGCGAGCGUUAUCCGGAUUCAUUGGGCGUAAAGCGCGCGUAGGCGGCCGCCUAAGCGGGACCUCUAACCCCGGGGCUCAACCCCGGGCCGGGUCCCGGACUGGGCGGCUCGAGUGCGGUAGAGGAGAGCGGAAUUCCCGGUGUAGCGGUGGAAUGCGCAGAUAUCGGGAAGAACACCGAUGGCGAAGGCAGCUCUCUGGGCCGUCACUGACGCUGAGGCGCGAAAGCUGGGGGAGCGAACAGGAUUAGAUACCCUGGUAGUCCCAGCUGUAAAC
This 663-nucleotide ribosomal RNA is filed under the name uncultured bacterium. Its description in RNAcentral is "bacterial SSU rRNA". It matches the Rfam family "Bacterial small subunit ribosomal RNA", at positions 126 to 807 of the family's 1533-position model. The record is from RNAcentral.